This 235-nucleotide ribosomal RNA is filed under the name uncultured bacterium. RNAcentral's name for it is "partial 16S ribosomal RNA". It matches the Rfam family "Bacterial small subunit ribosomal RNA", at positions 96 to 334 of the family's 1533-position model. The record is from RNAcentral.
CGGCGGACGGGUGAGUAAUGUAUGGGGAUCUGCCUGAUGGCGGGGGAUAACUACUGGAAACGGUAGCUAAUACCGCAUAACGUCUACGGACCAAAGCGGGGGACCUCCGGGCCUCGCGCCAUCAGAUGAACCCAUAUGGGAUUAGCUAGUAGGUAAGGUAACGGCUUACCUAGGCGACGAUCCCUAGCUGGUCUGAGAGGAUGAUCAGCCACACUGGGACUGAGACACGGCCCAG